GGCAAUUUCUGCCACGCCUUCUUCGCUACGUUCUCCUCUCCUCUCCAUUCCUUAUGAUACUAUUGAUCAAAUCAUCAGGCAAGAAUUCGAUAAGGAAAAACCCGUUCAAGGGAUUUAUAUUUACUUGCUUUCUUUAGGUUCCCAAUCGAGAAAUUAUGCUUAUAGUUAUACACCUGGAGAUUCCUCUCCUGGAUUCACGAAAUGUUUGGGAACUAUCUGGACUGGGAAAGAGAGAUAUCUCUGGAUUGACCUUUCCGCUGGACCUGUGGAUUAUGGGCCUGCUUUAUCCGGAGAUGGGGUUUUGCCUAGAGGAGAAUUUCACCCUCUAGCGGCAAUGCACGGGGGACCCAAGUCACAAAAGGCGCUGCUUGCAGACUUGGCUUCUUUGAUUUGGAGUGCUUAUCAGGUUCUACUUGUGCCCUCCUUAAGAAUUCCUGUUCAUUUUGAGAGUUCUUUGAUAGUUGAGUUUAUACAUGUUUAUGGGUCUGACGCUGAAAAGGAUUCAAGUGGAUUGGAUUGGAAAGCUAUUGAGAGGACCUUCAGAGAUGAGGCUGACGAGGGUGGGUUGUUGUUAGGAGACCAGUCUUUGGUAUUUAGGAAUUAUGGAAUUAGAUAUGCUGAUUGUCCGAUUUGCUCAUUUGCCAUUUCGAGGUCUAUUAAUUCGUACACUUCAAGGUUUUUGUUUGAUAACUAUACUUUGAUUGUGAGUGAGUAUUUGGACUCAAAAAGGUUGCAUCAAAUAUUGUCUGAUUCUGCUGAGGAGUUUAGGAGGAUGGCAGGAAUCCCUGAGGAGGAUUUUGGCAGAGUGCUUCCAGUUUAUGUGUUUGAUUUGGAUUAUAAUACAUUAUUGUUGCUUGAUCGGUAUCAUCAAUCAGUUGCUUUCAGAGAUAUGGUUAUUGCAGUGAGGACGAAGACUACUCAGACUGUGAGUGAUUAUAGCUGCAAUGGACGUCAUGUGUUUACGCAUACAAGAGAGAUUGAGCGACCGGUUGUUGGUUCAAUUCUACAGAGCAUGUGGGGAGUGUCACCAACACAUUUGUUAUGGAGUUCAAGGCAUAAUAAUACUUUGGUGGAUUAUACUUGGAGUGUUGGGCAGACACCAUUCGGGCCUUUCUCAGAGACUUCAUCACUUUCUUUUGUGCAGAGGGAUGCUGUAAGGAGAAAUGUACUUUUGACGUCACUGAAUUACAGCAUAACAAGUGCUAUUGAUGUCCUUGAGUCUAUAUCAGCACAUGGUGGUGACAGGAAUCUCCUUAAACAGAAUCAACAUGUUGAGUUUAUACAAAGAUGGAACUUGUUCAGGUACAAGCUGGACAAAGCAGUUUCAGCAAUGUCUCAUUUGGACUUUGAGAUGGCUUUAUAUUACUUGAGGUCCUCAGACCAUGAUCUGUAUGCCAUUCAUUCUCUUGUUUACCAUGCAUCCCAGGAAUUGGAGGCAUCACUGCUUUGUUUCAAGGAUCCACCAUUUCCCUGGGGCUCAGUUUCAAUGUCU
RNAcentral lists this unclassified non-coding RNA (1492 nucleotides) under Hevea brasiliensis (rubber tree). The record is from RNAcentral. Lineage: Eukaryota; Viridiplantae; Streptophyta; Magnoliopsida; Malpighiales; Euphorbiaceae.